This 492-nucleotide ribosomal RNA is filed under the name uncultured bacterium. RNAcentral's name for it is "partial 16S ribosomal RNA". It matches the Rfam family "Bacterial small subunit ribosomal RNA", at positions 29 to 507 of the family's 1533-position model. The record is from RNAcentral.
AGUGAACGCUGGCGGUAGGCCUAACACAUGCAAGUCGAACGGCAGCACAGUAAGAGCUUGCUCUUACGGGUGGCGACUGGCGGACGGGUGAGGAAUACAUCGGAAUCUACUUUUUCGUGGGGGAUAACGUAGGGAAACUUACGCUAAUACCGCAUACGACCUACGGGUGGAAGCAGGGGAUCUUAGGACCUUGCGCGAUUGAAUGAGGCGAUGUCGGAUUAGCUAGUUGGCGGGGUAAAGGCCCACCAAGGCGACGAUCCGUAGCUGGUCUGAGAGGAUGAUCAGCCACACUGGAACUGAGACACGGUCCAGACUCCUACGGGAGGCAGCAGUGGGGAAUAUUGGACAAUGGGCGCAAGCCUGAUCCAGCCAUACCGCGUGGGUGAAGAAGGCCUUCGGGUUGUAAAGCCCUUUUGUUUGGAAAGAAAAGCAGCAGGUUAAUACCCCGCUGUUCUGACGUUACCCAAAGAAUAAGCACCGGCUAACUUCGUG